GACAGGACUCAAUGUUUCAGUUAACUGUUUCCUGUCAAGCAGGCAAAACAUGUUCAUCUUAUGGAAGCAAAAAUGACAGUUAUUUUAAGAUCAGGGUACCUUCCAAAGAAGCCAAAGGCAUUACAGAGAUGCAAAACUUGAGGAUUGUUGAGUUGAUUCAAGACUGUCUGGUCCAAAUCCCACCAAAUUAGUGGCAAGUUUGACCUUGACUGCAAUGAAUUUUAGAUGAGAUCCCACACUCUGAUUUUGGCUGUCUGGUUGGCUACUACAUCACAGUCCACUUCAGUUUGAAACAGACACCUGAUCUCGUGAUCCAUGUGAUGUUGUGUAUGCCACUGACGACACAGUCCUUGG
This is a long non-coding RNA of Lepidothrix coronata (blue-crowned manakin), 354 nucleotides long. RefSeq lists it as uncharacterized. NCBI's taxonomy places the organism in Eukaryota, Metazoa, Chordata, Aves, Passeriformes, Pipridae. The transcript is spliced from 3 exons. The record is from RefSeq and is a predicted model, not a curated record.